This 22-nucleotide microRNA is filed under the name Xenopus laevis (African clawed frog). RNAcentral describes it as "Xla-Mir-135-P4_3p* (star (passenger))". The record is from RNAcentral. Lineage: Eukaryota; Metazoa; Chordata; Amphibia; Anura; Pipidae. RNAcentral also lists the same sequence under 1 other name.
ACAUAGGGCAGAAAGCCAUGUG